GAAGCGGUGCGUUUUAACAAGAGCCUGGGUGCCGGCGGGCUGAGGCGUAAAAUGGCGUCAGCCCCCAAAAUGGCGUCAGCCCCAAGUGAGGACGGGGCAGGGGUUUUAUUGUCUCCUAUAAACAGGGGGCGUCUCGGUCUGACGUAACUGCUACGCGGUACCCGGAUGGCCUCUUUCUCCAUCUUCAGGGGUUCAAGCGAUUCUCCUGCCUCAGCCUCCCGAGUUGCUGGGACUACAGGCACGCACCACCAUGCCCAGCGGCCUCCAACACAACCGCAUCUGGGAAAUUGGAGCUGACACCUUCAGCCAGCUGAGCUCCCUGCAAGCCCU
This 330-nucleotide long non-coding RNA is filed under the name Homo sapiens (human). Its description in RNAcentral is "HSALNT0020075". The record is from RNAcentral. Lineage: Eukaryota; Metazoa; Chordata; Mammalia; Primates; Hominidae.